This 626-nucleotide ribosomal RNA is filed under the name Chaetoceros sp. XJX-2020a. RNAcentral's name for it is "partial large subunit ribosomal RNA". It matches the Rfam family "Eukaryotic large subunit ribosomal RNA", at positions 96 to 748 of the family's 3401-position model. The record is from RNAcentral. Lineage: Eukaryota; Bacillariophyta; Thalassiosirophyceae; Chaetocerotales; Chaetocerotaceae.
AACUGGAUCUAGUUCAGCCUGUGAAUCGCUACAUAGUAGCGAGUUGUGGCUUAUAGAAGAUGUGUCGGACUAGACUUCAGGCUUAAUUAUACUGGAACGUAUAGGCGAAGAGGUUGAGACCACCGUUCAUGUUUGAAGUUCUUGUCCAUGGCAUACACCUUCGACGAGUCGAUUUGCUUGGGAUUGCAGAUCAAAGUGUCACGUAAAUUUGUGAUAAAACUAAAUAUUGGUGGGAAACCGAUAGCGAACAAGUAAUGUGAAUGAAAGUUGCAAAGAACUUUGAAAAGAGAGUUAAAGAGUACUCGAAAUCGUUGAAAGGGAAGCGUACGCAAACAGUGUUUCACUGCACCAUCUUUCUUCAUUAGCUUGCUAUUGAAGCGCUGUGGUGUAGAGUUUGUCAACAAGGGUUUGGAUCGAAGCAUAAGUAUGGCUGGGAGGCACACGUCUUUUCGUGGAUUACCAGCCUGUCUCGUUUUGGUCUGGAUUGAGGCUAGUCUUCGUGUUGUUGUCGAAAUGUUUGUGUACACCCCGUCUUGAAACACGGACCAAGGAGUCUAGCAUCUGUGCGAGUGUCUGAUUUUUAACAUCAUACGCGUAAUGAAAGUAACAGUGGUGGUAUAUUUUGC